GACGAACGCUGGCGGCGUGCUUAACACAUGCAAGUCGAACGGAAAGGCCCUGCUUUUGUGGGAUGCUUGAGUGGCAAAAGGGUGAGUAACCCGUGAGUAACCUGCCCUUGAUUUUGGGAUAACUUCAGGAAACUGGGGCUAUUACCGAUUAGGAGCUCCUGCUGAUGGGUGGGGGUGGGAAUGCUUCGGCGGUGGGGGUUGGUCUCGAGGCUUAUCAGCUGGUUGGUGGGGUAGUGGCUUAGCAAGCCUUUGACGGGUAGCCGACUUGUGUAGGUAAUCGGCCACAUUGAGACUGUGGUACGGACCAGACCCCUACGGGAGGCAACGGUAGGGAAUGUUACACAAGUGGCGGGAUCCUGAUGCAGCAACGCCGCGUGCGGGAUGACGGCCAUCGGGUUUUAAACCGCUUUCGCCUGUGACGAAGCGUGAGUGACGGUAAUGGGUAAAGAAGCACCGGCUAACUACGUG
Molecule: ribosomal RNA, 468 nt
Filed under: uncultured bacterium
Lineage: Bacteria
Description: partial 16S ribosomal RNA
Rfam family: Bacterial small subunit ribosomal RNA
Source: RNAcentral